AUUGAACGCUGGCGGCAGGCUUAACACAUGCAAGUCGAGCGGAGAUGAGGUGCUUGCACCUUAUCUUAGCGGCGGACGGGUGAGUAAUGCUUAGGAAUCUGCCUAUUAGUGGGGGACAACAUUCCGAAAGGAAUGCUAAUACCGCAUACGUCCUACGGGAGAAAGCAGGGGCUCUUCGGACCUUGCGCUAAUAGAUGAGCCUAAUUCGGAUUAGCUAGUCGGUGGGGUAAAGGCCUACCAAGGCGACGAUCUGUAGCGGGUCUGAGAGGAUGAUCCGGCACACUGGGACUGAGACACGGCCCAGAGUCCUGCGGGAGGCAGCAGUGGGGAAUAUUGGACAAUGGGGGGAACCCUGAUCCAGCCAUGCCGCGUGUGUGAAGAAGGCCUUAUGGUUGUAAAGCACUUUAAGCGAGGAGGAGGCUACUGAGACUAAUACUCUUGGAUAGUGGACGUUACUCGCAGAAUAAGCACCGGCUAACUCUGUGCCAGCCGCCGCCGUAA
Molecule: ribosomal RNA, 501 nt
Filed under: uncultured bacterium
Lineage: Bacteria
Description: partial 16S ribosomal RNA
Rfam family: Bacterial small subunit ribosomal RNA
Source: RNAcentral